RNAcentral lists this ribosomal RNA (119 nucleotides) under Pteropus alecto (black flying fox). Lineage: Eukaryota; Metazoa; Chordata; Mammalia; Chiroptera; Pteropodidae. The record is from RNAcentral.
GUCUACAGCCAUACUACCCUGAACAAGCCCAAUCUCAUCUGAUCUCAGAAGUUAAGCAGGCUCAGGCCUGAUUAGUACUUGGAUGGGAGACCACCUAGGAAGACUAGGUACUAUAGGCU